This 445-nucleotide ribosomal RNA is filed under the name uncultured bacterium. Its description in RNAcentral is "partial 16S ribosomal RNA". It matches the Rfam family "Bacterial small subunit ribosomal RNA", at positions 354 to 796 of the family's 1533-position model. The record is from RNAcentral.
GUGAGGAAUAUUGCGCAAUGGAGGCAACUCUGACGCAGCCAUGCCGCGUGCAGGAAGAAGGCGCUACGCGUUGUAAACUGCUUUUAACCGGGAAGAAACCCCAGGACGUGUCCUGGGUUGACGGUACCGGAGGAAUAAGCACCGGCUAACUUCGUGCCAGCAGCCGCGGUAAUACGAAGGGUGCAAGCGUUAUCCGGAUUCAUUGGGUUUAAAGGGUGCGUAGGCGGAGCGUUAAGUCAGUGGUGAAAUCCUGCAGCUUAACUGUAGACUUGCCAUUGAUACUGGCGAUCUUGAGUGCGCUUGAAGUGGGCGGAAUGUGCCGUGUAGCGGUGAAAUGCUUAGAUAUGGCACAGAACACCAAUUGCGAAGGCAGCUCACUAAGGUGAUACUGACGCUGAGGCACGAAAGCGUGGGGAUCGAACAGGAUUAGAUACCCGUGUAGUCC